AGAGUUUGAUCCUGGCUCAGGACGAACGCUGGCGGCGUGCCUAACACAUGCAAGUCGAACGGGGUCCAGGGAGUGCUUGCACUCCUGAAGACCUAGUGGCGAACGGGUGAGUAACACGUGAGAAACCUGCCCCGGACUCUGGGAUAACUCAAGGAAACUUGAGCUAAUACCGGAUACCCUCCUGCGGUCGCAUGGCUGCUUGAGGAAAGUUUUUCGGUCUGGGAGGGUCUCGCGGCCUAUCAGCUAGUUGGUGAGGUAACGGCUCACCAAGGCAACGACGGGUAGCUGGUUUGAGAGAACGAUCAGCCACACUGGAACUGAGACACGGUCCAGACUCCUACGGGAGGCAGCAGUGGGGAAUCUUGCGCAAUGGGCGAAAAGCCCUGACGCAGCAACGCCGCGUGCGGGAUGACGGCCUCGG
Molecule: ribosomal RNA, 421 nt
Filed under: uncultured bacterium
Lineage: Bacteria
Description: bacterial SSU rRNA
Rfam family: Bacterial small subunit ribosomal RNA
Source: RNAcentral